CCUACGGGGGGCAGCAGUGGGGAAUAUUGGACAAUGGGGGGAACCCUGAUCCAGCCAUGCCGCGUGUGUGAAGAAGGCCCUAGGGUUGUAAAGCACUUUCAGUGAGGAAGAACGCCUGGUGGUUAAUACCCAUCAGGAAAGACAUCACUCACAGAAGAAGCACCGGCUAACUCCGUGCCAGCAGCCGCGGUAAUACGGAGGGUGCGAGCGUUAAUCGGAAUUACUGGGCGUAAAGCGCGCGUAGGUGGCUUGAUAAGCCGGUUGUGAAAGCCCCGGGCUCAACCUGGGAACGGCAUCCGGAACUGUCAAGCUAGAGUGCAGGAGAGGAAGGUAGAAUUCCCGGUGUAGCGGUGAAAUGCGUAGAGAUCGGGAGGAAUACCAGUGGCGAAGGCGGCCUUCUGGACUGACACUGACACUGAGGUGCGAAAGCGUGGGUAGCAAACAGGAUUAGAUACCCGAGUAGUC
RNAcentral lists this ribosomal RNA (465 nucleotides) under Vreelandella stevensii. RNAcentral describes it as "partial 16S ribosomal RNA". It matches the Rfam family "Bacterial small subunit ribosomal RNA", at positions 338 to 795 of the family's 1533-position model. Lineage: Bacteria; Pseudomonadati; Pseudomonadota; Gammaproteobacteria; Oceanospirillales; Halomonadaceae. The record is from RNAcentral.